RNAcentral lists this ribosomal RNA (253 nucleotides) under uncultured bacterium. Its description in RNAcentral is "partial 16S ribosomal RNA". It matches the Rfam family "Bacterial small subunit ribosomal RNA", at positions 524 to 776 of the family's 1533-position model. The record is from RNAcentral.
UACGGAGGGUGCAAGCGUUAAUCGGAAUUACUGGGCGUAAAGCGCGCGCAGGUGGCUAUCCAAGUCAGUGGUGAAAGCCCGGAGCUCAACUCCGGAACUGCCAUUGAAACUGUUUAGCUUGAGGACGAGAGAGGUGAGUGGAAUUCCCAGUGUAGAGGUGAAAUUCGUAGAUAUUGGGAAGAACACCGGUGGCGAAGGCGGCUCACUGGCUCGUUUCUGACGCUCAGGCGCGACAGCGUGGGGAUCAAACAGG